GCAGGCCAUUUGGACUGUGUGGGUUUGCACCCCAGCUUGACAGCAGCACCCAGGUUUUCCCCUGAGAAACGGCUGUACGGUCUGUUUGACGUGAAACGCACUCGCAGCUCCAGAAAUGAGCACCAGCUGGCUUAAGUCAGACGGGCAAACCUUGUUCUUCUUGCCCUCGCUGUGGUCUAGAGAGAGAACGGGGAACAUCGGACCAGUCCAAGUGGACUCAGCCACCCUUUCUGGGAAUAAUGGCGUGUAGAUCUCCUCUCUUGUGCUUGAUGAUGUGGGGACAUGGGAAUUGGAGAAGCUACCAGGGAAUGUGUGGAAGGGUGGAAGCUGAGGACAGGCUCACUGGUGGACGCAGAGUGGAGAAAGGUCUGCGGGGGUAGCAUUUGGGCCCUGGAUCAGCACUUACCUGAAUUACUCCUUGAAUUCCUGAGGUCCAGGGGCCAAAAUUCCCUCUCUUUUCCUCCUUGAGCUAGCGUGGGUUUGGCUUUGCCACUUAAAAGAACCCCAGCCGUAGCGUCUCGUUUAAGGACUUACCUAUUCACCCUCCUGCAUGUGAGACGCAGCAGGACUAGCCUCACCACCGCCCACCCCGCAAGCCCUCUCCUCUCUAACCCAUGCCACACUGUCGAUGGUAUACCCUGCUCAGUGCUUUGUACACAGUAGACGCUAAAUAAAUGGUGACUGCUAUUCUCCACACCCUCUUCUGAACACAGAAACAGAGAG
RNAcentral lists this long non-coding RNA (723 nucleotides) under Marmota monax (woodchuck). The record is from RNAcentral. Lineage: Eukaryota; Metazoa; Chordata; Mammalia; Rodentia; Sciuridae.